RNAcentral lists this ribosomal RNA (253 nucleotides) under uncultured bacterium. RNAcentral's name for it is "partial 16S ribosomal RNA". It matches the Rfam family "Bacterial small subunit ribosomal RNA", at positions 524 to 776 of the family's 1533-position model. The record is from RNAcentral.
UACAGAGGUCCCAAGCGUUGUUCGGAUUCAUUGGGCGUAAAGGGUGCGUAGGCGGCGGGGUAAGUCAGGUGUGAAAUCUCGGGGCUCAACCCCGAAACUGCACUUGAUACUGCCUCGCUUGAGUACUGGAGAGGAGACUGGAAUUUACGGUGUAGCAGUGAAAUGCGUAGAUAUCGUAAGGAAGACCAGUGGCGAAGGCGAGUCUCUGGACAGUUACUGACGCUGAGGCACGAAGGCCAGGGGAGCAAACGGG